GCCUUUGUGGUGUAGUGGUCAGCACAUUCGACGCGUAAUCAGGAGGUCCGUGGUUCGAUCCUCGGUGAGGGCA
RNAcentral lists this transfer RNA (73 nucleotides) under Stegodyphus mimosarum. It matches the Rfam family "tRNA". Rfam says of the family: Transfer RNA (tRNA) molecules are approximately 80 nucleotides in length. Their secondary structure includes four short double-helical elements and three loops (D, anti-codon, and T loops). Lineage: Eukaryota; Metazoa; Arthropoda; Arachnida; Araneae; Eresidae. The record is from Rfam by way of RNAcentral.